RNAcentral lists this small nuclear RNA (106 nucleotides) under Notamacropus eugenii (tammar wallaby). Lineage: Eukaryota; Metazoa; Chordata; Mammalia; Diprotodontia; Macropodidae. The record is from RNAcentral.
GUGCGUAAUGAGUAGCACAUAGAUUGAAAUUCGAACAAUACAGAAAAGAUUUAUGGGGCCUCUGCACAAAAAUGGCAUGUAAAUUCUUAACAUAUUGUAUUUUUUC